This 23-nucleotide non-coding RNA is filed under the name Arabidopsis thaliana (thale cress). The record is from RNAcentral. Lineage: Eukaryota; Viridiplantae; Streptophyta; Magnoliopsida; Brassicales; Brassicaceae.
GAACCUGAGGCAGAGGCGAUGGA